AGAAAAAGAAGAAGAAGGGUGUUGUUGUUGUUGUGGUUGCGUUGGGAUAAUUCAGCUCGCCACCUCCGACACGUCACAGCAGCACUUCUGCCUGGAUACACUGCCAGCUGAAGAGAGAGGCUGAAUCCACCAUGGAUGGAGGUUCAAGUUCCAGUCCAUCGUCAGAACAGGAUCAGAAAAAGCAAAGCUGUUCAUCAUCCCAAAGCAACAAAGCAUCAGUCAGCCAGAAUCUAAAUACAAAGCACAGGACAGACUGCCUGGAAACAGGGCCUGAAAUUCCCCAAUGCAAAAUGGGCAGCAAGAAGGUAGACGACAUGAGCUUCAUGAUAUCAUGUACAAACUGGUACUAGAUUCCUGUCAUUGUUUAGUUCCAUCCUGCAUUAGCUGCAUGUUGGCUGCACUGCUAAACAUGUGAUCUGUAAACAAGCCUGAUAUUUAAGUUAUAAAACAUGUUGGAACAAGUUUAUUGUAUAUUGUUAAUGUAUUGUCACAGUGUAAAAGCACAAUAAAAGUACACAAAAGUGCAAUAAUUUACAAUUGCCCUUAAAUUUUAUUAGGGUCUCAUUUUUGACCUGUGAUUAAAAACUACAAAAACAAGUAUGUUUUGUCUGAAGUAGCUGUGUUUAUUACAUAAGCUUAUUCGUACAAUAUUGGGUUAUUUUUGGGGAGCCGAGAGAACCCAAACUGAUGUUCUUGGCUCCAAAAUGAUUUUCAGCAGUUGAACAGUCCAGUGUCCUAUGUUGU
Trichomycterus rosablanca is the source of this 744-nucleotide long non-coding RNA. RefSeq lists it as uncharacterized. The record is from RefSeq and is a predicted model, not a curated record. The transcript is spliced from 3 exons. NCBI's taxonomy places the organism in Eukaryota, Metazoa, Chordata, Actinopteri, Siluriformes, Trichomycteridae.